AAUAUUAUGUGAUCUUCUGAGGAAUCAGCUUUGCUGCGCAUUAGUUGGCACUAUAAUAUUAGUGUAUUUUAUUUGUUUAUUAUUUGCCACUGCAUGAACCAAGUAAAUUAUGUGUUGCAUGGUUUUGGAAUCUACAAAUAACUUAAUGAAGUUCUCAAAAGUCCCCACCUUACUAAGCCAUAUUAUCGUGCUGUUAACUGCAAUAUGAGAGCAAAGCAGUUGAUAGGAUAAGAUCAUUUUUUAGUGUCCCUAGGAAAUGAUGUAAGAUAAAUUUUGCAUUUUG
This 283-nucleotide unclassified non-coding RNA is filed under the name Hevea brasiliensis (rubber tree). Lineage: Eukaryota; Viridiplantae; Streptophyta; Magnoliopsida; Malpighiales; Euphorbiaceae. The record is from RNAcentral.